UUAGAGUUUGAUCCUGGCUCAGAUUGAACGCUGGCGGCAGGCCUAACACAUGCAAGUCGAACGCGAAAGCACUUCGGUGUGAGUAGAGUGGCGGACGGGUGAGUAACGCGUGGGAAUCUACCUAGUAGUGGAGGAUAACUCGGGGAAACUCGAGCUAAUACUGCAUACGCCCUACGGGGGAAAGCGGGGGAUCUUCGGACCUCGUGCUAUUGGAUGAGCCCGCGUUAGAUUAGCUUGUUGGUGAGGUAAUGGCUCACCAAGGCGACGAUCUAUAGCUGGUCUGAGAGGAUGAUCAGCCACAUUGGGACUGAGACACGGCCCAAACUCCUACGGGAGGCAGCAGUGGGGAAUAUUGCGCAAUGGGCGAAAGCCUGACGCAGCCAUGCCGCGUGUGUGAAGAAGGCCUUCGGGUUGUAAAGCACUUUCAAUAGGGAGGAAAGGUUGUAACUUAAUACGUUGCAACUGUGACGUUACCUAUAGAAGAAGGACCGGCUAACUCCGUGCCAGCAGCCGCGGUAA
This 519-nucleotide ribosomal RNA is filed under the name uncultured Spongiibacter sp. Its description in RNAcentral is "bacterial SSU rRNA". It matches the Rfam family "Bacterial small subunit ribosomal RNA", at positions 1 to 523 of the family's 1533-position model. The record is from RNAcentral. Lineage: Bacteria; Pseudomonadati; Pseudomonadota; Gammaproteobacteria; Cellvibrionales; Spongiibacteraceae.